GUGAGCUCGCUUCGGCAACACAUAUACUAAAAUAAUGGAAUGAUACAGAGACGAUUAGCAUGGCCUCUGCACAAGGAUGACACGCAGGUUCGUGAAGUAGUGGACACUGAC
This is a non-coding RNA of Erinaceus europaeus (western European hedgehog), 111 nucleotides long. The record is from Rfam. NCBI's taxonomy places the organism in Eukaryota, Metazoa, Chordata, Mammalia, Eulipotyphla, Erinaceidae.